AUAUGUUGGUGUACUUGUGCAGGGUGGAGAAGCAGGGCACGUGAGCGGCCAUCCAGUGUAGCUUCGCUGCGCGUCCAUGGCGGCGAACGCGCGUGAUCUGGAGUUUGGAUGGUCGUUCAUGUGUCCGUCUUCUCCACCGAGCACUGGCAUAUCCAAGACC
This 160-nucleotide microRNA precursor is filed under the name Oryza sativa (Asian cultivated rice). RNAcentral describes it as "precursor microRNA 164f". The stretch from base 15 to 146 matches the Rfam family "MIR164 microRNA precursor family". Lineage: Eukaryota; Viridiplantae; Streptophyta; Magnoliopsida; Poales; Poaceae. The record is from RNAcentral.